GCCGGGGUGAUGGAAUGGUAGACAUGCUUGGCUUAGAACCAAGUGCCAUACGGUGUGCAGGUUCGAGUCCUGUCCCCGGUA
Molecule: transfer RNA, 81 nt
Filed under: Candidatus Altimarinota bacterium
Lineage: Bacteria; Candidatus Altimarinota
Description: tRNA-Leu
Rfam family: tRNA
About the family: Transfer RNA (tRNA) molecules are approximately 80 nucleotides in length.
Source: RNAcentral